AACGGGUGAGUAACGCGUGAGGAACCUGCCUCAAANAGGGGGACAACAGUUGGAAACGACUGCUAAUACCGCAUAAGCCCACGGGUCGGCAUCGACCAGAGGGAAAAGGAGCAAUCCGCUUUGAGAUGGCCUCGCGUCUGAUUAGCUAGUUGGUGAGGUAAUGGCCCACCAAGGCGACGAUCGGUAGCCGGACUGAGAGGUUGAACGGCCACAUUGGGACUGAGACACGGCCCAGACUCCUACGGGAGGCAGCAUG
This 256-nucleotide ribosomal RNA is filed under the name uncultured bacterium. Its description in RNAcentral is "partial 16S ribosomal RNA". It matches the Rfam family "Bacterial small subunit ribosomal RNA", at positions 101 to 353 of the family's 1533-position model. The record is from RNAcentral.